Molecule: long non-coding RNA, 218 nt
Filed under: Mytilus galloprovincialis (Mediterranean mussel)
Lineage: Eukaryota; Metazoa; Mollusca; Bivalvia; Mytilida; Mytilidae
Source: RNAcentral
CAAUAUUUGCACAUUUGCAGCAUUUGGGUAUAAAUAAUCUACAUUUUGCAUUUAUUUAUUCUUAUCAAGUUUCACACUAGUAUAUUUUAUGUUAAAAUUAUGUAGUCUUUACAUCAGGGGUAUAUCAAUGGUAUUCAAGUACAUUUGGAAGAGUGCAAUCUGCAUUUUGAAACUUAAGUGACCUUUGAUAACUUUUGAAUUUUCCUUCAAAAUGGGCA